This 430-nucleotide ribosomal RNA is filed under the name Verrucomicrobiota bacterium. RNAcentral describes it as "Verrucomicrobia bacterium partial 16S ribosomal RNA". It matches the Rfam family "Bacterial small subunit ribosomal RNA", at positions 355 to 776 of the family's 1533-position model. Lineage: Bacteria; Pseudomonadati; Verrucomicrobiota. The record is from RNAcentral.
UAGGGAAUCUUCGGCAAUGGGGGGAACCCUGACCGAGCAACGCCGCGUGAGUGAAGAAGGUUUUCGGAUCGUAAAGCUCUGUUGUUAAGGAAGAACGAGUGUGAGAAUGGAAAGUUCAUGCUGUGACGGUACUUAACCAGAAAGGGACGGCUAACUACGUGCCAGCAGCCGCGGUAAUACGUAUGUUGCGAGCGUUAUCCGGAAUUAUUGGGCUUAAAGGGCAUCUAGGCGGUAAGACAAGUUGAAGGUGAAAACCUGUGGCUCAACCAUAGGCUUGCCUACAAAACUGUUGAACUAGAGUACUGGAAAGGUGGGUGGAACUACACGAGUAGAGGUGAAAUUCGUAGAUAUGUGUAGGAAUGCCGAUGAUGAAGAUAACUCACUGGACAGAAACUGACGCUGAAGUGCGAAAGCUAGGGGAGCAAACAGG